RNAcentral lists this ribosomal RNA (431 nucleotides) under uncultured organism. RNAcentral describes it as "bacterial SSU rRNA". It matches the Rfam family "Bacterial small subunit ribosomal RNA", at positions 29 to 507 of the family's 1533-position model. The record is from RNAcentral.
AACGAACGCUGGCGGCAGGCUUAACACAUGCAAGUCGAGCGCCCCGCAAGGGGAGCGGCAGACGGGUGAGUAACGCGUGGGAAUCUACCUAUCACUACGGAACAACUCCGGGAAACUGGAGCUAAUACCGUAUACGCCCGAGAGGGGAAAGAUUUAUCGGUGAUAGAUGAGCCCGCGUUGGAUUAGCUAGUUGGUGGGGUAAUGGCCUACCAAGGCGACGAUCCAUAGCUGGUCUGAGAGGAUGAUCAGCCACACUGGGACUGAGACACGGCCCAGACUCCUACGGGAGGCAGCAGUGGGGAAUAUUGGACAAUGGGCGAAAGCCUGAUCCAGCCAUGCCGCGUGAGUGAUGACGGCCUUAGGGUUGUAAAGCUCUUUCAACGGUGAAGAUAAUGACGGUAACCGUAGAAGAAGCCCCGGCUAACUUCGUG